This 440-nucleotide ribosomal RNA is filed under the name Chiasmocleis leucosticta (Santa Catarina humming frog). Its description in RNAcentral is "partial large subunit ribosomal RNA". It matches the Rfam family "Bacterial large subunit ribosomal RNA", at positions 1953 to 2567 of the family's 2925-position model. The record is from RNAcentral. Lineage: Eukaryota; Metazoa; Chordata; Amphibia; Anura; Microhylidae.
AAGGUAGCGCAAUCACUUGUUCUUUAAAUAAGGACUAGUAUGAACGGCAUCACGAGGAUUACACUGUCUCCCCCCCCCAAUCAAUGAAACUGACCUCCCCGUGAAGAAGCGGGGAUAAGCAUAUAAGACGAGAAGACCCUAUGGAGCUUUAAACACAUCACCACUUAUCUUAACCCACCCCUCUAAGACAGAUAAAGCUGGUGUCCGUUUUCAGUUGGGGUGACUGCGGAGCAUAAUAAAACCUCCACGAUGAAAACCAAUCCAAGAACAACGCUUCUAAGAAUCAAUAAAUUGACAUAAAUUGACCCAAAUAAUAAUUUGAUCAACGAACCAAGUUACCCUAGGGAUAACAGCGCAAUCCAUUUCAAGAGCUCAUAUCGACAAAUGGGUUUACGACCUCGAUGUUGGAUCAGGGUAUCCCAGUGGUGCAGCCGCUACUA